This 301-nucleotide ribosomal RNA is filed under the name uncultured bacterium. RNAcentral's name for it is "partial 16S ribosomal RNA". It matches the Rfam family "Bacterial small subunit ribosomal RNA", at positions 509 to 807 of the family's 1533-position model. The record is from RNAcentral.
CAGCAGCCACGGUAAUACGGAGGGUGCAAGCGUUAUCCGGAUUUAUUGGGUUUAAAGGGUCCGUAGGCGGAUCUGUAAGUCAGUGGUGAAAUCUCACAGCUUAACUGUGAAACUGCCAUUGAUACUGCAGGUCUUGAGUAAAUUUGAAGUGGCUGGAAUAAGUAGUGUAGCGGUGAAAUGCAUAGAUAUUACUUAGAACACCAAUUGCGAAGGCAGGUCACUAAGAUUUAACUGACGCUGAUGGACGAAAGCGUGGGGAGCGAACAGGAUUAGAUACCCCUGUAGUCCCUGUCUCUUAUAC